This 254-nucleotide unclassified non-coding RNA is filed under the name Hevea brasiliensis (rubber tree). Lineage: Eukaryota; Viridiplantae; Streptophyta; Magnoliopsida; Malpighiales; Euphorbiaceae. The record is from RNAcentral.
AUACAAGUUUGGGAUAGUCUUAGUACAGCAAAACAGGGUAUGGUAUGAGUACUUAUGAUUUUAUAUUUUUUUUAUACUUGUGUAAUAAUUUUCAUGAAUGUGAAGUAGUUUGUACUUUAUAGAAGCAAUUUCAUUUUGUAAAUUUCCCGGAGUUUUUCCUAGGUUGUGUUAAGUUGAAAUUGUACUCGGAAAUUCUCUCAAUACAAGGAGUCUACCUUCGCUUAGAAAAAAAAUAUAAAAUCAUAAGUACUCAU